RNAcentral lists this ribosomal RNA (774 nucleotides) under uncultured Neocallimastigales. RNAcentral describes it as "partial large subunit ribosomal RNA". It matches the Rfam family "Eukaryotic large subunit ribosomal RNA", at positions 26 to 614 of the family's 3401-position model. Lineage: Eukaryota; Fungi; Neocallimastigomycota; Neocallimastigomycetes; Neocallimastigales. The record is from RNAcentral.
CGCAUCUGUGCAUGCAGCAUAUCAAUAAGCGGAGGAAAAGAAACUAACAAGGAUUCCCCUAGUAACGGCGAGUGAAGCGGGAAGAGCUCAAAUUUGAAAUCUUAAAGGGUUUCCCUUUACGAAUUGUAGUUUAAAGAAGUGUUUUCUGUUGAGGUUUUGGUAAAAGUUCUUUGGAAUAGGGCAUCAUAGAGGGUGAGAAUCCCGUAUUUGACCUUUACUUUCAACUUUGUGAUACACUUUCAAAGAGUCGGAUUGUUUGGGAAUGCAGUCCAAAAUGGGUGGUAAAUUUCAUCUAAAGCUAAAUAUUGGCGAGAGACCGACAGCGAACAAGUACCGUGAGGGAAAGAUGAAAAGAACUCUGAAAAGAGAGUUAAACAGUACGUGAAAUUGUCAAAAGGGAAGCGUUUGACACCAGUGUUGUUUUUCUGAAAAUCAAUUAAAGAACUGUUUAUGCUAAGCUGUUUAGACUUUAUCAGCUAACUGUUUAGUUUUGAGCUUUUCUUUAAUGCACUUUUCAGUUAACAAGUCAACAUCAAUUUCUUUUGCUGUAAAAAAGCUUGAGGAAGGUGGCUUGAGAUUCGUCUUAAGUGUUUAUAGCCUCUUGCCUAUGCAGUCGGAGAGAUUGAGGUCUGCAGCGUAGAUCCUUCGGGGCUAAAUGCAUUUGUGCUAAGUUAUAGCAUUUUAUAGACAACUUGUUGACUAUGAUUUGUCUUGUAGCUUACUCGCUUAUGUUAUUUUACCUACGCUUAGGAUGUUGAGUCAUCACACAUCUCU